This 73-nucleotide transfer RNA is filed under the name Marmota marmota marmota (Alpine marmot). It matches the Rfam family "tRNA". From Rfam's summary of the family: Transfer RNA (tRNA) molecules are approximately 80 nucleotides in length. Their secondary structure includes four short double-helical elements and three loops (D, anti-codon, and T loops). RNAcentral also lists the same sequence under 2 other names. Lineage: Eukaryota; Metazoa; Chordata; Mammalia; Rodentia; Sciuridae. The record is from Rfam by way of RNAcentral.
CAGGGUAUAUCUCAGUUGGUAGAGUGUUUGCCUUGCAUGCACAAGGCCCUGGGUUCAAUCCCCAGUACCAGGA